CAGGAAUGCUGCUUAAGGUCACAGCUGACAUCAACUGCACCAACUACCAUGUGAUCGUUGAGGGAAUGGGAGAUGUUUUCGACAAAAUGACAUUCACCAGGAGGCAGGAGAUGACCAGGGUUCUGGUGGAGCACCUGAAGCAAUUUGCCGUCCGAUACAACAGUCCAGAUUGCAGAAAGGACAUCGGAAACGAUGCUGAGUGGCUUGACAUCAACUUGGGUCUAUUCUCCACGGUGGCCAAUUACUCAGACCUCAAGGAGCUGAACAUCAGUGCGGAA
This is a long non-coding RNA of Cyprinus carpio (common carp), 278 nucleotides long. RefSeq lists it as uncharacterized. The transcript has 3 exons. Lineage: Eukaryota; Metazoa; Chordata; Actinopteri; Cypriniformes; Cyprinidae. The record is from RefSeq and is a predicted model, not a curated record.